UUGCUUUUCAUUUUGUUUUGGGUACAUCAGGCUUCAGAUUCUCGUUGCAGAGUAAAAUACGUUACGGCCGGCGGCGGGCAGGUCCAGCCUACCUCUUCCGCCGAAGUUAAGGUUCGUCAGGGCGGCAGCGGCAGCGCGGGCCGCUCCGGAUCCACCCUCUCGGGCACGAUCCGUCACAAGCCACACACACAUCACACCAACCGUUCCUCCCCAACGUGCAAAUGACAAUAGGUCGGGUUCUCCCCAGCUUGCGCCGGGAAACCUCAGUAAUGAUCCUUCCGCAGGUUCACCUACGGAAA
RNAcentral lists this unclassified non-coding RNA (299 nucleotides) under uncultured fungus. Its description in RNAcentral is "sequence contains ITS1". The record is from RNAcentral. Lineage: Eukaryota; Fungi.